UACAGAGGUGGCAAGCGUUGUUCGGAAUUACUGGGCGUAAAGGGCGCGUAGGCGGCCUUCUAAGUCAGACGUGAAAUCCCCCGGCUUAACCUGGGAACUGCGUCUGAUACUGGGAGGCUUGAGUAUGGGAGAGGGAUGUAGAAUUCCAGGUGUAGCGGUGAAAUGCGUAGAUAUCUGGAGGAAUACCGGUGGCGAAGGCGGCUCUCUGGACCGGAUCUGACGCUGAGGCGCGAAAGCGUGGGGAGCAAACAGG
This 253-nucleotide ribosomal RNA is filed under the name uncultured bacterium. RNAcentral describes it as "partial 16S ribosomal RNA". It matches the Rfam family "Bacterial small subunit ribosomal RNA", at positions 524 to 776 of the family's 1533-position model. The record is from RNAcentral.